AUGCAGUGUGAAGGUUCAUUGAAGACCGAGUACACCAAGUUUCAAGCCACUCAUGACAAGUUCUGCAUAGACAAAGCUCCACACACACAGAAUUUCAAAGAUCUUUUCUCAAAGUUUGAGGUUGAAAAGGAGAAACUGAUAGUUCAAUAUGAACUGCAAAAUUCGUUGCUCUUACUCAACUACUAA
This 186-nucleotide ribosomal RNA is filed under the name Triticum aestivum (bread wheat). Its description in RNAcentral is "partial small subunit ribosomal RNA". The record is from RNAcentral. Lineage: Eukaryota; Viridiplantae; Streptophyta; Magnoliopsida; Poales; Poaceae.